GGGGCGGAUCAACCACGGGUGAA
RNAcentral lists this unclassified non-coding RNA (23 nucleotides) under Dictyostelium discoideum. The record is from RNAcentral. Lineage: Eukaryota; Evosea; Eumycetozoa; Dictyosteliales; Dictyosteliaceae.